This is a long non-coding RNA of Zingiber officinale, 480 nucleotides long. RefSeq lists it as uncharacterized. NCBI's taxonomy places the organism in Eukaryota, Viridiplantae, Streptophyta, Magnoliopsida, Zingiberales, Zingiberaceae. The transcript is spliced from 2 exons. The record is from RefSeq and is a predicted model, not a curated record.
AAUAAAGGCGCGUACCUCUUUUCCCCGCGGCGAUGGCCGCUGGCGCCCACAUCCCCCUGGUGCCAGACCUCCAUGCCUUCCCUCCUCUUUAUAUUUCUACUCCUAAACCGUUGGAGGCCCCUCUUGCAAGCUCCCGAGCACCGGAUUUUGCCCUACCAACCUCUUAUGCGGUGACGUUAAGGCUAGCAUCUCCUCGCGCCUCCAAGAAAAGCUUCAAGGAUGUCAGCGGUGAUCUCAAAUAAGCCACCAUAUACAAUAAUAAGCCUGGUAUCUUCUACACAGAUGACGAGGUGUGGGUGCACUUUCCGGACCUGCCGAUACAUAUGUUUGAAAAGAGUAGUCUCUUCUCAGCUGCUAGCAUUAUUGGGAAGCCAAUCAAAAUUGAUGAGGUCACUGCUGAUGGUUCAAGGUUGUUUAUGGCUAGUGUUUGUAUCGAAAUUGACUUGUUAAAGCUAAAGGUGGAGGAUUUCUGGAUUGGGA